GAGGCAACUUUAGAAUUGCUAAUAGCUCCGCGGGAUUGGCUUGCUGAACAUGAACAUCUGAAUCGAAUAAAAUUUUAUAAACCUCAUAUGUAUAACAAGAUCUAUCUCCGUAUCUUCUAGUAGCUGACUAAGCAACGACGAUGUUCCAGUAAAAUUCAAAGAAGAAGAGACUGCAGGGGCAUAUAUAGCUUGAGCCCAGAGGAAGUGACACUAAGUGAACUCAUCCCACAGCUUCAUAUAAAUCCAAGCAACAUGAGAAUCUAUUAUACAUACAAGAAUACAGAUAAAGACUAAUAUCAUAAUAAGGACGGUAGCAUUGUCCGGUAUCCUGGGGACACGAGUCAGCCUCUGAGACAUGCAUCUCACGGUGUUGGCAAGACACAUGCACUUAUGCGGACAUUCCCUGGUAUUAAUUCCACGAGCCUCCAGUACUGCU
This is a long non-coding RNA of Cephus cinctus (wheat stem sawfly), 436 nucleotides long. RefSeq lists it as uncharacterized. The transcript has 3 exons. The record is from RefSeq and is a predicted model, not a curated record. Lineage: Eukaryota; Metazoa; Arthropoda; Insecta; Hymenoptera; Cephidae.